UUGGAGGGCAAGUCUGGUGCCAGCAGCCGCGGUAACUCCAGCUCCAAUAGCGUAUAUUAAAGUUGUUGCAGUUAAAAAGCUCGUAGUUGAAUUUCGGGAUUAGUACGCUGGUCGUGCCUUCGGUACGUACUGGUGUUACUGAUUCCUACCUUCUGACGAACCAUCAUGUCAUUAAUUUGGUGUGGUGGGGAAUCAGGAUUGUUACUUUGAAAAAAUUAGAGUGUUUAAAGCAGGCUCGCGCUUGAAUACAUUAGCAUGGAAUAAUGAAAUAGGACGUUGAUCCUAUUUUGUUGGUUUCUAGGAUUGACGUAAUGAUUAAUAGGGAUAGUUGGGGGCAUUAGUAUUCAAUUGUCAGAGGUGAAAUUCUUGGAUUUAUUGAAGACUAACUACUGCGAAAGCAUUUGCCAAGGAUGUUUUCAUUAAUCAAGAACGAAAGUUAGGGGAUCGAAGACGAUCAGAUACCGUCGUAGUCUUAACCAUAAACUAUGCCGACUAGGGAUCGGAUGAUGUUAUUUUUAAUGACUCAUUCGGCGCCUUACGGGAAAC
RNAcentral lists this ribosomal RNA (546 nucleotides) under uncultured Glomeromycotina. RNAcentral describes it as "SSU rRNA". It matches the Rfam family "Eukaryotic small subunit ribosomal RNA", at positions 548 to 1098 of the family's 1831-position model. Lineage: Eukaryota; Fungi; Glomeromycota. The record is from RNAcentral.